AGAUUUUCAAAAUAGAUGUUGAUUGAUCAUGAAGGUGGUUUUCCCAGGGUGCGGCUCAUCCAUUGCACUCCGGAUGUGCUGACUCCUGCAAUUUCUCCAAAUGCAGGAAACUCGACUGCAUAAUUUGUGGUAGUGGGGAACUGUGUUCGCUCUUUCCCCUG
Molecule: small nuclear RNA, 161 nt
Organism: Cavia aperea (Brazilian guinea pig)
Lineage: Eukaryota; Metazoa; Chordata; Mammalia; Rodentia; Caviidae
Gene: U1
Rfam family: U1 spliceosomal RNA
About the family: U1 is a small nuclear RNA (snRNA) component of the spliceosome (involved in pre-mRNA splicing). Its 5' end forms complementary base pairs with the 5' splice junction, thus defining the 5' donor site of an intron. There are significant differences in sequence and secondary structure between metazoan and yeast U1 snRNAs, the latter being much longer (568 nucleotides as compared to 164 nucleotides in human).
Source: Ensembl